Molecule: ribosomal RNA, 346 nt
Filed under: Bacillus cereus
Lineage: Bacteria; Bacillati; Bacillota; Bacilli; Caryophanales; Bacillaceae
Description: bacterial LSU rRNA
Rfam family: Bacterial large subunit ribosomal RNA
Source: RNAcentral
GAGAAAGUAAAAACGAUUUCGUAAGUAGCGGCGAGCGAACGCGAAGAAGGGCAAACCAAGAAGCUUGCUUCUUGGGGUUGUAGGACUGCAACGUGGACUUAAGCAUUAUAGUCGAAUAACCUGGGAAGGUUAAUCAAAGAGGGUAAUAAUCCCGUAGACGAAAUAGCGCUUAUACCUAGCAGUAUCCUGAGUAGGGCUGGACACGCGAAAUCCAGUUUGAAUCCGGGAGGACCAUCUCCCAACCCUAAAUACUCCUUAGUGACCGAUAGUGAACCAGUACCGUGAGGGAAAGGUGAAAAGAACCCCGAGAGGGGAGUGAAAUAGCACCUGAAACCGUGUGCCUACA